RNAcentral lists this ribosomal RNA (54 nucleotides) under Ulva clathrata. Its description in RNAcentral is "5.8S ribosomal RNA". The record is from RNAcentral. Lineage: Eukaryota; Viridiplantae; Chlorophyta; Ulvophyceae; Ulvales; Ulvaceae.
GAACGCACAUUGCCGGUCGACUCUUCGGAGGAGACCACAUCUGCCUCAGCGUCG